RNAcentral lists this transfer-messenger RNA (355 nucleotides) under Stenotrophobium rhamnosiphilum. RNAcentral's name for it is "Standard tmRNA". It matches the Rfam family "transfer-messenger RNA". Rfam says of the family: Bacterial tmRNA, also known as 10Sa RNA or SsrA, is named for its dual tRNA and mRNA-like properties. Its role is to liberate the mRNA from a stalled ribosome. Lineage: Bacteria; Pseudomonadati; Pseudomonadota; Gammaproteobacteria; Nevskiales; Nevskiaceae. The record is from Rfam by way of RNAcentral.
GGGGCCGACUUGGAUUCGACGGUGAUUGGAAGGCUGACGUGCAUGCCGAGGUGCAGUGGUCCUCGUAAAACUCUUCUGCAACUAAGCUAGUUGCUAACGACGCAAACUACGCCCUCGCCGCUUAAGCGGUGAGCGUUUGACCAGGUGGUGUUGGUACCCCUGAAUCAGACGUCGACUCUUACCAAAUCGCGCAGCGGAGGGCUACUGGCCAAAGCGUUAAAUCCAAAAAGUAGAUAAGCGUUAGCGUUCCGUGCCCAUUCGGCAGCUAACGACGAAAAAUAAUAAUCGGGCUACGCAUGUAGAUCGAAUGUUGGAAGGUUAUCGGACGGGGGUUCAAUUCCCCCCGGCUCCACCA